UGGGGAAUUUUGGCAAUGGGCGAAAGCCUGAUCCAGCAAUGCCGCGUGUGUGAAGAAGGCCUUCGGGUUGUAAAGCACUUUUGUCCGGAAAGAAAUCCUUGGCUCUAAUACAGUCGGGGGGAUGACGGUACCGGAAGAAUAAGCACCGGCUAACUACGUGCCAGCAGCCGCGGUAAUACGUAGGGUGCAAGCGUUAAUCGGAAUUACUGGGGCGUAAAGCGUGCGCAGGCGGUUUGCUAAGACCGAUGUGAAAUCCCCGGGCUCAACCUGGGGAACUGCAUUGGUGACUGGGCAGGCUAGAGUAUGGCAGAGGGGGGUAGAAUUCCACGUGUAGCAGUGAAAUGCGUAGAGAUGUGGAGGGAAUACCGAUGGCGAAGGCAGCCCCCCUGGGCCAAAUACUGACGCUCAUGCACGAAAGCGUGGGGGAGCAAACAGGAUUAGAUACCCUGGUAGUCCACGCCCUAAAACGAUGUCAACUAGUUGUUGGGGAUUCAUUUCCUUAGUAACGUAGCUAACGCGUGAAGUUGACCGCCUGGGGAGUACGGUCGCAAGAUU
Molecule: ribosomal RNA, 555 nt
Filed under: uncultured bacterium
Lineage: Bacteria
Description: partial 16S ribosomal RNA
Rfam family: Bacterial small subunit ribosomal RNA
Source: RNAcentral